RNAcentral lists this long non-coding RNA (2524 nucleotides) under Marmota monax (woodchuck). Lineage: Eukaryota; Metazoa; Chordata; Mammalia; Rodentia; Sciuridae. The record is from RNAcentral.
AUCUCCUGGUGAGCCUGUGUGCGCUUCUUCCCCUUCUCAACUAUUUCACUUGCUCAUCAUGUCAUGUCAGGGCUCUUGAUUCUUUGCCACACUCUCAGCAGGCACAGGUCGGACAGAUAAAAAUGCCACUAGGAAACUCACCCCUUGAAAACUGCUGUGACAGGAUGAUCUGGUAGUGAGCCACAGUAAGACUUAGUCUGUUUUGGACACAAGACAAAGCUCACCAAUGCUGGCACAUUGUACAAUCAGCCAGUUACCCCAAUCCUGUGGCUUCUCCAGAAGGAAAUUAUCUGAAUAAGAACUCAACAUGGUGCUCACAGUCUCUGUUUCUUCUUUAUUCCCAGUCUUCUUCCACCUCCUAUGGGCUUUUACUCCUUCUCUGUUAAUCAAUCUUCCUUGCUUAUAGGUAUCACCUCCUCCAAAAUAUCUAUGGCUCUUUUUUGAAAGGUUUUAAAAAUUCCCUCCCUAUGAGGGAUGGGACCUAUUGGUUGCAGAUGUUACCCAUAUCAUUUGCCAUCAACCAAAAGAAAACAGGCCAAGAUUAAACUGGUCUUUUCUUUUUCUAGGUUUAAGGAGACAGGAAAGGUUGGAUAGGGAUAACUGGGAUGCCACUGAGUGGACCUUCACAAAUAGAGUUUCAUGGUUCUUUUUAGCCUUUGAGUAGGAAGGCUAAAUACCACUGGGAAAGAAAGAAUAAUUACCAAGAUGCUAGGAGCAGAGGAAAACAUGCAGGUAUUACACAGCCCAUGGAAAAGAGCCAAACCAAAAAGAGAGAGCCUAGAUUCCAAAGGGAAUGGGGCAAAUUAUGUCCCCAAAUUGGUAGACAUAAUUUGGCAGCUUGUGGUUCUGGUCAUAGGAACUCAAAGGAAGUAGUGUGCACCCACCAUAGGGGUCAUAGACAUUUGUCUACAAAAUUGUGGGAUUUCUAUGAGGAUGCCUGGGAAAUACCCAACCCCUAAGUUCCCAAUUCCUCACAGUUAUGCCUCAGGCAGAAUUCAGGGCCCUAGUUACAGAACCUAAAAACUCUUUCUUCCAGAAUAGCCAACAUGGGAGGAACUACCUCUAUUGUACAUAACUCCCCAUUUGGAUAUAUUCUCCAUUACUGAAAAUGCUUCCACCCUGACAAUUUGAGGUGGAGAAAAGGACUUUUUAAAAAUUGUAAUAAUACUUGCUCCAAUAUGAGCUAGGGGUUGAAAUCAAUGGCCUCUGAAUGGAAGCCAAAAUUAUAAUACCAUCAUGUAACUAGACAUCUUUUGCAGGAGAGAAAGCAAGUGGUCAUAAGUCCCCUACACCCAAGCCUUCAUGUACUGUACAAAACCCACUCCUAUGCUGUGACAAGAUCCCACAAGGGGCUCCUAAGGCAACUGCCCCAAAUCACGAUAUCCUGAAUGACCCAUUAGUAAAUAACCCUCCUGUUUCUCAGGGGAACAGCUAUGACAACCUCCUUCAGCUCUUUGGGUCAGAUUGCCCUAGUUAAUGCUCUUUGCCUCUCAUGCUCAAAAUGACAAAUUUCCUUUCUCCUUAGCUUUCUGCCAGUUAUCUAUCUCUCUGAGGCUUGCAUCUGGAAUGUAAUUAAGCUGCACAGGCAAUUGUCCAAUCCAGUUUAAGAGUGUCACUUUCAGGCUGAGGAUAUAUUGCAAUUCGUAAAGAGCUUGUCUCACAUGCACACCGCCCUGGGUUCAAUCCCCGACACCCCCCCCCCCCAAAAAAAAUAGAGUGUCACUUUUAAAUUCAAGCUGCAAUGGGACAUAAAUGACUAUUUUCUCUGUCCUUGUACUCUGGAAUUCUGCUCUCUCAUUAAGUUCCUCCCUAGAUGCUAAAACACAGGGAGGGAAAAUGGAAAGAUCCUAGAUAUAUAAAUCUUUUUUUCCUUGAGAACUUUUUCCUGAGAAACUCAUGGGCUCCUACAUUCUUUAAAUAUCUGGACUGACUCUAAUCUGAUCCAAAAGUGCACUCUAGUCUAUAUACAAGAGUAAUUACAGUUGCAACAUUUAAAAAAAAAAAAAAAAAAAAAACUCUAUCUUAGUUUCUGAGUUCAUGUUUUUUUGGGUGAACUCACUUUUCUUCCUGAAUUCCUAAAGUAACAUAUUUUGUUUGGAUUAGUCUUAUUUUGUCUGACUGGAGUUUUUCCCCCCCCUCUAUCUGUUUUUCCUGUUGUCUUUAUUCAGUGAUCAAUAAUUCAAGGGUUAACUCUCAAGUGUACUGGAAAAGGAAAGAGAUCUUCUCCUUUGGAGAGUCCUAAGGAAGGAGAUUAACAGUGGUGAUGGUGGAAGGAAAUCUGCCCCCAUGGAGGAUGAAUGGUCCCCUUGAACCUUUGAUUUCAGCAUCCACCAUGGCUGACAGACUCUAUUGCUCACAUUCCCCAAAGCACAGGCCCUUCCUAUAUCUGAGUCAUAGUGAAAAAUCUGUGACAGGCUCUAUUUUAAUUUCUAAAUUAAAAUUUAUAUCUGAUAGUAGUUCUUUUGACUCCUACCUGUAGGGAUUUCAUUCCUGGUAAAAAUCUACAAAAUCCUUGUUUCUUGUC